RNAcentral lists this ribosomal RNA (863 nucleotides) under uncultured marine group I thaumarchaeote. RNAcentral describes it as "SSU rRNA". It matches the Rfam family "Archaeal small subunit ribosomal RNA", at positions 13 to 881 of the family's 1478-position model. The record is from RNAcentral. Lineage: Archaea; Thermoproteati; Nitrososphaerota.
CCCGCCGGACCUGACUGCUAUCGGAUUGAUACUAAGCCAUGCGAGUCUUUGUAGUAAUACAAGGCAGACGGCUCAGUAACACGUAGUCAACCUACCCUAUGGACGAGAAUAAUCUCGGGAAACUGAGCAUAAUUCUCGAUAGAUCAUAAUGCCUGGAAUGGUUUAUGGUUAAAAUGAUUCGUCGCCAUAGGAUGGGACUGCGGCCUAUCAGCUUGUUGGUGAGGUAAUGGCCCACCAAGGCGAUUACAGGUACGGGCUCUGAGAGGAGAAGCCCGGAGAUGGGUACUGAGACACGGACCCAGGCCCUAUGGGGCGCAGCAGGCGAGAAAACUUUGCAAUGUGCGAAAGCACGACAAGGUUAAUCCGAGUGAUUUCUGCUAAAGAAAUCUUUUGUCAGUCAUAAAACCACUGACGAAUAAGGGGUGGGCAAGUUCUGGUGUCAGCCGCCGCGGUAAAACCAGCACCUCAAGUGGUCAGGAUGAUUAUUGGGCCUAAAGCAUCCGUAGCCGGCUUUGUUAGUUUUCGGUUAAAUCCAUGUGCUCAACACAUGGGCUGCCGAAAAUACUGCAUGGCUAGGGAGUGGGAGAGGUAGACGGUACUCAGUAGGAAGGGGUAAAAUCCUUUGAUCUAUUGAUGACCACCUGUGGCGAAGGCGGUCUACCAGAACACGUUCGACGGUGAGGGAUGAAAGCUGGGGGAGCAAACCGGAUUAGAUACCCGGGUAGUCCCAGCUGUAAACGAUGCAGACUCGAUGAUGCAUUGGCAUAAUAGCCAGUGCAGUGUCGCAGGGAAGCCGUUAAGUCUGCCGCCUGGGAAGUACGUACGCAAGUAUGAAACUUAAAGGAAUUGGCGGGGGAGCACCA